Molecule: ribosomal RNA, 381 nt
Filed under: uncultured bacterium
Lineage: Bacteria
Description: bacterial SSU rRNA
Rfam family: Bacterial small subunit ribosomal RNA
Source: RNAcentral
AUUGAACGCUGGCGGAAUGCUUUACACAUGCAAGUCGAACGGCAGCACGGGGGCAACCCUGGUGGCGAGUGGCGAACGGGUGAGUAAUACAUCGGAACGUGCCCAGUCGUGGGGGAUAACUACGCGAAAGCGUAGCUAAUACCGCAUACGAUCUACGGAUGAAAGCGGGGGAUCGCAAGACCUCGCGCGAUUGGAGCGGCCGAUGGCAGAUUAGGUAGUUGGUGAGGUAAAGGCUCACCAAGCCGUCGAUCUGUAGCUGGUCUGAGAGGACGACCAGCCACACUGGGACUGAGACACGGCCCAGACUCCUACGGGAGGCAGCAGUGGGGAAUUUUGGACAAUGGGCGCAAGCCUGAUCCAGCCAUUCCGCGUGCAGGAUGA